RNAcentral lists this ribosomal RNA (400 nucleotides) under uncultured bacterium. RNAcentral describes it as "partial 16S ribosomal RNA". It matches the Rfam family "Archaeal small subunit ribosomal RNA", at positions 473 to 873 of the family's 1478-position model. The record is from RNAcentral.
AUACCAGCACCCCGAGUGGUCGGGACGAUUAUUGGGCCUAAAGCAUCCGUAGCCGGCCUUACAAGUCCUCCGUUAAAUCCAGCUGCUUAACAGAUGGGCUGCGGAGGAUACUAUAAGACUAGGAGGCAGGAGAGGCAAGCGGUACUCAGUGGGUAGGGGUAAAAUCCGUUGAUCCAUUGAAGACCACCAGUGGCGAAGGCGGCUUGCCAGAAUGCGCUCGACGGUGAGGGAUGAAAGCUGGGGGAGCAAACCGGAUUAGAUACCCGGGUAGUCCCAGCUGUAAACGAUGCAGACUCGGUGAUGGACUAGCUUUAUGCUGGUCCAGUGCCGCAGGGAAGCCGUUAAGUCUGCCGCCUGGGUAGUACGGUCGCAAGACUGAAACUUAAAUGAAUUGGCGGGG